UACGGAGGGUGCGAGCGUUGUUCGGAAUUACUGGGCGUAAAGCGCGUGUAGGCGGUUGGGCAAGUCAGAUGUGAAAGCCUUCCGCUCAACGGAAGAAGUGCAUUUGAGACUACCCGGCUGGAGUUCGGGAGAGGAGAGUGGAAUUCCUGGUGUAGAGGUGAAAUUCGUAGAUAUCAGGAGGAACACCGGUGGCGAAGGCGGCUCUCUGGCCCGAUACUGACGCUGAGACGCGAAAGCGUGGGGAG
Molecule: ribosomal RNA, 245 nt
Filed under: uncultured bacterium
Lineage: Bacteria
Description: partial 16S ribosomal RNA
Rfam family: Bacterial small subunit ribosomal RNA
Source: RNAcentral